Long non-coding RNA from Falco peregrinus (peregrine falcon), 6098 nucleotides. RefSeq lists it as uncharacterized. The transcript has 4 exons. The record is from RefSeq and is a predicted model, not a curated record. NCBI's taxonomy places the organism in Eukaryota, Metazoa, Chordata, Aves, Falconiformes, Falconidae.
CGCCGGCGUGGGAGGGAGCGACCGGGGCGGCACGCCCCGGCCCGGCCCGGCCCGGCCCCGGCCCCUCAGCCCGCCCGGGCUCGCCUCAGCGCCGGGGCCGCCUUCGCAAGCGCUGGUUUUAAAACUUCUCCUCAGAAAAGCGCUUUAACGUAGAAACUUUUGGCUGGAGACCAGGACGUCGUGAGGCACAGGUGGCACUCGAUAAUAACUCUGAAUGUCUUCAUCAGCUGCUGCUGCUGCUGCUACACCCAGACAAGCCAUCUGCCACCCAGGAAACUACAUACUACUUAGAACACCCCAGUGAUGUCAGUCAACACCUUCUUAAAUGCUUGCCAUCUGGCCCAUGAAGGAGUCUUUCUGCCAGCCCAGUUUGAGGAGAGCAAUAAGAUGGCUUGGUGGACUCCUGGUGGCCAGCCAAGGUCAACCCACCACACUAUCAGGCUGAUGUUAUGGAAAUCUUGUGAUGAACUUCAUUUAAGUUGGAUUCAUUUUUAUCCCUGUGAAGAUUGUGACAUGGCCAAGAAAUGGAAGUGUAUUCUUAUCCAGAUUGUGUUUUUCUCUGUGUCUGAAGGACGUUUGCCAAACUAUUUGGUUGUUGGUCAGAAAUUGGAAGAGCUACCAGAAUAUGCUCCCCUAAUACUUAUGAAUUACAUGAUUUCAAGUAUCAUGUUGCUGGCUUUUGAAAUAGUGCUAAGGUAUCUAAAUAACUAGUAUGAUCCAGAAAUUAACUAAAUUGUGAAUCCAAUCAGUUACAGUGAAGAUCAGCUACCUUAGAACACUGUGGUUCCUCACCAAUGUUACACAGAAGGUGUUCGUGGCAAGUCAUCUGUGAUUUCAGACUCCUAGAAAGAAUUUGAGAAUAUGGAUCACAGAUAUCCAGUGCAGUGGCCGAUAGUCAUCUGCACUGAUAAAAGCGUUUGGGAUGAAAUCUUGGCUCUACUGAGGUCAAUGCAAGUUUGCUGCUUAAUAAUAAGACCAUACAGCUGAAUGAGGAGGGUGGUUCUCUGGGGUUUUUUUGGUUGAUUGUGCGCUAAACCAAAUUAGCCAUCAAGGUGUUACCAGCUAUGGGAAACAAUAAAAUCUCUUGUUCUGCUCUCUGGGAUUUCCUGUUAUUGCAUGAAUGAAAAACAAAGAAAAUGGACUCUGUAUCUUGGAAUCUCCAAAAAGGUAACUGAGGCCAGUGAAAAUGUCUGCUUCUUUCAGGAGAUUUUGGUGUGGUUAUGAGUCUUGGAGAUCAGUUUGAGUUCACAUACCAUCUAAGAGAGCAGUUAUAAAAUUAAGCCACUCGAGGUCAUGUCAGUGCUGCUAGGCGCUACACAGCCACGCAUCUUGGUGCUGGGCCAUUGUACAGAGCCUGUCUUGGGAGAUAUCCCAAGGAUACCUGCUGAGUAUGAAAGGAGCACUCGGCCAAGAAAAGCAGGAAGAAGUGUUACUCUGAAAUGGGGGAAUGGAUGCUAUUUGUUUUCUGGUUUUAAUCCAUAGAAGUCCAAGAAAGAGAACCAAAAAAUGAAAGAGUAGGAGGACUGAACUUGAGGGGAGUAAAAGUAUCUUUUUACGUCAAGAACAGCCAGAGCAGACCACUGUUUAAAGCUUGGAACUUCAUUAUUCUUGGUCCAGCUGGCAGUGUUAGAAGAGUCCUCCUGACUCCUGGGUAUCCAGAGAAGUUUGGAGAAAUGCAGGGUUUCCCAUUUCCACUCUUGCAAAAGUAACAAUUUCCUUGCCAGAAGCACUGACUAGGGGAUCUUGGCACAAUGCAGUGAGACAAACUGCAAUGCUGCCUGAAGAAAAGAGUAUCAGCCAUGGGCUUUUUCCAGUGGCCAGUGACAAGGGGAGCAGAGAUUACAGUUCUCAAGAUAAACUGAAGCCAUUGCCUCUUCCCUGCCAUAGCUGAUCAAGGCUAAAGUGUGCUUUGAUAUUGCAGUGAGACCAGGAAAUCCUUCUAUUUGUAUUCUUUUCAGCACCUUCUAGUAACCAAAAAGACAUGCAAGGGAUCAUCAAAUGGCACAUGAAGACCAAGAGAGAAACAUGGGGCAAGAAAAGGCACUUUUCUGGAGAAAAAUUGAAGAUUGUGGGAGAUAAACUGAUCUCCAUUUUGUUAAUUGUGUUGAAUUCACAAGGUAAACCAUAAGCCUAUAACUUUAAUAAGUAAUAUUCUUUGUUGUAAUAUGUAACACUCUUUAUAAACUGUUAUUUCUCUCUUACCACUUUGCCUUUCAAGUCAUUUUUAAUUUUAAAGUUUUCUGUCCAAGUGAGCACAUAUCUGCAUGCACAACCUAACCUCUUUACCCAUGUAUUUAAAUGUUUUUAAAAAAUUAUAUACAGGGAGAAAAUAACCAAAACAAUAGAAACAGAUAGUCCUGGAACCUUAACACAACAUUUUUUUGUUUCCUUGAAAAGUAUUUGCAGAUUUGCUGAAGAAAAACAUGAGUUCACAAAGACUACAGAUUCCUACAGGAGUAAUGGGAAAAAAAUUCUAACUUGAUGCAUUUCCCAUUUUCUUAAACUUCCAACCAGAUUUUUCCAAAGCUGAACAGUAACACCUAAACACUGGCAUACACUUGCAGGUUUGAUUUAGUUUUCAAAGGUCAGUUCUGUGCAACUAUGUGCUUUGGAAAUCCGUUCGGGGGCCACAGAUACUGUUCUUAGUAAUCAAAUGAAGAUGGACAUUUAUGCCUCUAACUGAACAUUCCACAAACUUACAGAGAAGUCCACACCUAAAUAAGUUUAAUAUUAAGUAUUGUGAUAUUCUGGGAUUCUAUACAUUUUAUUACUUCUUAGACACAUUUAGUUAAUUAUUGUUAUCAAUAAAAGGUAUAUUUAACAAGAUAUAUCAUCUCCUAACUACUUAGAUCUUCUGGAUUAGGCACUGUUAUUUAUAGUAUAUGUUAUUAUUUGCAUUUGUUUUUCUGGAUAACUGUUACUGCACAAGGAACCUGUGCUGCUGUUCUGUAGAAGUGUAUAAAACACCCUGCGUUCCCCUGCAAAUGAAUGAAUUCCUGGGUCUCUCCCCUGAGAACUGCUUUCUACCACACCUUCUCUAUCUGUGUUAUGCCUGGCCGGUCUCAUUCUCCUUGCUUAUCUGCUCCCAGACUCUACUCUUCAGGUUUUUGACCCCUCCUAGCUUUUUUUGUUUUGGAGUUUCCAUGUUCUCAUUUAGAGACUGAACGCUGGCUGUUUUUAAUCCAGAUAGUCCCAGUUCCCCAACCACACCCCAGCUGUCAGCACGGACAUAGGCAACCACUCUGCGUGGCAAUGUAGCAGAGUGGGCAUGAACAACAUAGAACUGCUUGGCUCAGAGACCAGGGAUUGCUCCUUGGAGGAGAUGACAUAAUCCAUGAAUUUGUAGCCUCUUCACAUCCACUUGGCUCCCAGGUUCCUCUUCUUGCCUUGAUGCAAUUAGUGGUAACUAUUGGCUUGCCCAGUGAGUCCUACUACUUUACAAAAUGAGUGUCAUGUACACAGUAGUAUAGGAGAAAAACCUCAAUUUCUCACCAAGCCCAGGAACAGUAAGGUUAUGCUAAAAGAGAUAACUUAUCUUAACACAUCAAGGAGAGAGAUGUCCCUCAAGCUCACAGACUGUGCGGUCAUACAGGAUCAGCUUUCUAAUUCUGCAGUUACUUAAGUAUUUAGUCAAGCGCAGCUGUAUUGCAGAGUAGUAUUUCCAUUUCUAGGUUGUUGGUGUAGCCACAUUCUUCAUAGGUGGCAGCGAGGCAAGAAAGUAAUUGUAAUUUAGCAUCUUGAAAGUUGGCAUACACUUUUAUGUCAGCUUCCCUUUUUCAGCUAAAUGCUCUUUCAAAAAUCUUCCGUGUUAGACAUGGAUGAAAAUAACGUAGAGACUGGAGGAGUUUUUUAGAUAGGAGUCAACAGAAACAAAAAUCCUGCUCUACCUCUGCACACUACAAGCAAUAUUUAAAUAUUCCAGGCAUUUUCACAACAGAUUGAGUUGGAGGAGAUCUGGACUCAACACAAACCAUAAUCUUCCUAAUGGCAUUUUAAAUUCGUUGAGCACACUGGCAGCUAGCCAGUUGUCUGACAAUAUUACAGGAAAGGGUCAGAAUGACCUAGACACAUGCAGGAAAACGAAUACCUUCUCAAGACAUUCUGCUUGGGAUAAUGAUUUUGGAAACUACAAGGAAUGGAUCAUGUCACAGCAGUGAACUUAGGAGGGAACACCUGGGCUAAUCAUUGCUACAUUUAUUACAGAUACUUCCCUCAUUGCUGCUACCAAGAAAGAGCCCUAAAAGGCUGAAUGCUGUAUAAGUGGAAAAGUUUGACAGCAUGUGUCUGGGAACACGGUUGCCUUCUGGCUCAGAAUAGUAACUGUCAGGCAGUAACACCUCAGGGUACCAGUGUGGCCUUUCGGGCUCAAUGGGAAGCACUGUGGUUCCAAAGUGCAGUAUCACUUUCAGACUGGGAAAGAGCAAUUGUGAGGGAUAUAACUGAGCUCAGUUACUACCAGGCUGUGCUGAACAGAAGUGAAGGCCAUAAGGGUAUGCUGUGGCCUGAAAACUGCAGUUUAGCACAGUUCCAUCCCAGCUAUUCGGGGGACAAAAGCACUCCCAUCAGCCAUCUGAUCCAUUUACUUUUCUUUCUUGUGUCUGUGACACUAAAUGUUUGAGAGAAGUCCCAAGAAAUCCAGAACAAAACACUCAGUGUGGCACGGUAACCAAAACUAUUUUUCUCCUCCUCUUGCUUCCAAGGCUGUGAGCUACAUGGUGAUGUUUCCUUUCCUUUGCCAUCCACUUGUAACACAUAAACAAAGCAACCACUCUUCUGUUGCAAUGUGUCUGAGGCAGCUGUAAUCACCAUGCUGACUGACAGUAAUUGGUAUUUGCUUUGGUCAGCUUUAAAAUCAUUCUAAUUAAAGCUGUCUUCCUAGUCCCAUAUUGAAAGAAACACAGUAUCUGGAGGCAAGACCACGUUGUCAAGCCCCCAGGGCAAUCUUUAAUAAAUCCUCAGGCACCAAUGCCUGCCUCCCUCAGAGCUGGCAACAGUAGCCUCCAUGCUCCAAAAUAACACUUUGUCAUAUUCUCUAGCCUCUUGUCAUCUCAAUGUGCAUCAACGAUUCUACUAGUAGGACAAGGAAAGCUUAUUAUGGAAUCAUAGAAGCAUUUAGGUUGGAGAAGACCUUUAAAAUGCCAAGUCCACCACUAAACCAUGUCCCUAAGUGCCACGUCCAUACAUCUUUUAAAUACCUCCAGGAUGCUGACUCAACCACCUCCCUGGGCAGCCAGCUCCAGUGCUCAACAACCCUCUCAGUGAAGAAAUCCCUCCAAACACCCAAUCCAAACCUUCCUCAGCACAACCUGGGGCUGUUUCCUCUUCUAUCGCUUGUUCCUUGGGAGAAGAGACUGACACCCACCUCACUACAGCCUCCUUUCAGGUAGUUCUAGAGCUCCUCCUGAACCUCCUUUCCUCCAGGCUUAAAUGACCUCAGCUCCCUCAGCUGCUGUUCACAGGACCUGUUCUCUAGACUGCUCACCAGUUUUCUAUAUAUAAAGCAAAGAACAGGAUAUUGAUUAAAUGAUAAAAAUAUUUUUGCUCUUAGGCAGAACCGACGACUUCAUGCUCCUUCAGUUGCAGAGACAUUGGUAGCAAAUCAGCUUAUAUUGUUGACUAGCCAUUCAUGUGAUAGCCAAAGAUAUUUACUAUUUUUUCUGACAUCUCCUUUCUCCAGUACUUCACCAGAGCACUUUCCUGAACACACAUAACAUCUCCAGAGACCUGUAGAAUGGGGCAUAGAAAAUACUGAAAUAGGAUGAAGUAGGGAACACAGCAUGCAGUUCCUCAAGUAUGGGCUUUAUUCAGGACAUUGGAAUCAAUACAGGAUGCCUAAUAAAGUCUUUAAUUAUAGCACAGUUUAACAUUGUCUUAAAGUACCUCCAGCAGCUUGUUGCCACCCAUGUUAAGUUGGUUCAUUAUGGAAUCAGCAGAAAGUGCUCACCCUUCUGAAGCAUUAGCACAUGGCCUGCCCAGCUGGCUCAGCUGAGUGGUGUCCAUUCAGUCACUCACUAGCUGCUCACUUUUGGUAGGAUGAGAUUGGAGUCAGAGGCUUCACAAGAACAGAAUGUCUUUGUCUUGUAACCUGUCUGGUCAGC